RNAcentral lists this transfer RNA (72 nucleotides) under Ornithorhynchus anatinus (platypus). It matches the Rfam family "tRNA". From Rfam's summary of the family: Transfer RNA (tRNA) molecules are approximately 80 nucleotides in length. The record is from Rfam by way of RNAcentral. Lineage: Eukaryota; Metazoa; Chordata; Mammalia; Monotremata; Ornithorhynchidae.
AGCAGAGUGGCUCAGUGGAAAGAGCAUGGGCUUUGGAGUCAGAGGUCAUGAGUUCAAAUCCCAGCUCUGCCA